RNAcentral lists this ribosomal RNA (497 nucleotides) under uncultured bacterium. RNAcentral's name for it is "partial 16S ribosomal RNA". It matches the Rfam family "Bacterial small subunit ribosomal RNA", at positions 28 to 507 of the family's 1533-position model. The record is from RNAcentral.
GAUGAACGCUGGCGGCGUGCCUAAUACAUGCAAGUCGAGCGAACGGACCAGAAGCUUGCUUCUCUGAUGUUAGCGGCGGACGGGCGAGUAACACGUGGAUAACCUACCUAUAAGACUGGGAUAACUACGGGAAACCGGAGCUAAUACCGGAUGAUAUUUUGAACCGCAUGGUUCAACAGUGAAAGACGGUCUUGCUGUCACUUAUAGAUGGAUCCGCGCUGCAUUAGCUAGUUGGUAAGGUAACGGCUUACCAAGGCAACGAUGCAUAGGCGACCUGAGAGGGUGAUCGGCCACACUGGAACUGAGACACGGUCCAGACUCCUACGGGAGGCAGCAGUAGGGAGACUUCCGCAAUGGGCGGAAGGCUGACGGAGCACAGCCGAGUGGGUGAUGAAGUGCCUCGGAUCGGAAAACUCUGUUAUUAGGGAAGAACAUAUGUGUAAGUAACGGUGCACAUCUUGACGGUACCUAAUCAGAAAGCCACGGCUAACUACGUG